UGGCUUUGAUAGCGCUUUGUCAAUAAGAGAUAUCAUAUCGUGGUAGAACCCCUAUCCGUGCUUUUCCAACUCCCUCUAUGGUGUCAUCUACUGGCUGACUGCACACUGACUUCUGCCUGACUAUGGCUUUUAGAAAGCAAGAUCCCUCCGUUUAUCACUAUAUAGAAAGAACAUCCCAUACACAUACAGAGUAUUUAAACUAAGCUAUUCGAGCCUUCACCUAAGCUCUCAUCGAUAGAGCCAAUUUUUCUUUGAUUCUUGUAUACAAAUCUGGUAGUCAAUUGUUCUAGCAAGGAUGGACUAGUUGCCUACUCUCGCCUUACCCGACAUCCAUCAAGCAUCGAUCAUCGACUUGCUUUUCAAUCUAAGCGAUUUCAUAACCAGAAAGAAAGACCUCUCUUUCGGGAUCAGCCCCGUCCCUAGAUGUAGUAGGCAACCUUUCUUUCUUCUUCCAGCUUUUUCCAAAUAAAGGGCUAAUAGAGUUGCGCUUUCUUAGUACAUUGCCUUUCAUUACCAACCUGUCGUUUUACAGCACGAAGUUACCUGAUGUUCGCUACUACUAAAAAGGGCGGAGAGAUGUUAACCUUUCGCUAUUAGUAAGCACUCCCCUAGUUUUGACCUAAUGAGCUUUCUUUACGUUGAGUUAACCCGGCGGGUUCGCCUAGAUGUCUAGUAAAGAACGAGCUGGUGGGAAAGAGCUGGAGAUCAUGAAAAGCAUUUCCACACAAGGAGGCAGGCGGCCGGGAAGCUUUGCUUCUAGAAUGCCGACUACAUGGGAACAGAUGUUUUAUAGGUUUAUUCUAAUUCUUGCUGCCCGCUCGAUUUCGAGAUGUUCCCGAGAAGAAAGAGCUCGCGAGAAAGCUCGUCAGUGGAAAUUGUAAAAGGUCUCGAUUCCGAGGAAGGUGUAGUCGGGGUCGACCACN
This 923-nucleotide long non-coding RNA is filed under the name Panax ginseng (ginseng). RNAcentral's name for it is "long non-coding RNA (PGIN_LNC006966)". The record is from RNAcentral. Lineage: Eukaryota; Viridiplantae; Streptophyta; Magnoliopsida; Apiales; Araliaceae.